GAAUUCUUUCUGUGGCAAUGAAGGUUCAUUUAACACCCAAUUUUGACCACAAAAAAAAAACUCCAAGCAUCCAAGUUCAAGAAAUUAAUCAAAGCCUGCCGCACCUGAAGCGGUCUGCAAAGCAUGAUUGAAAACCAUAGCACAGCAGCACAAUGAAUUGAUUUUAUCAACAUUAUCUAUUUGCCAUGGGAAAUGGGAAAGAGCUCCAUCUUUAUGUAAAUUUAAACAAUCAAAAGGUCAAAGUGUAGCCACAAUCUCUCUGCAGGCUCUUCAAGAUAAAUCUCUAUCUACAAAUAGACUAUAACAUGAGCACCCAUCCUUUUAUCCCUAUACGGUCAUCAACCUUCUACCAAAUUAACAAUCAUAACUUGCUUCGAUAUAUAUGGUUGGGUACAAUCUAACAAUCAUAGUUUUGUGUGAAAUAAUCUUCUUUUUUAUGUAUACUACUUGGACACGAAAUUUUCCCCCCCAUUUAGUUAAAUAUUACCAUUUACAAAAACAGUUGAGCAAUCAGAAAAAUUGAAGAAAACAAACUGUUUCUCCCCCAAAUCUCAAACUUCAAAGCUUAAACUUGCUAGGUUUAUUCUAAUUCUCCUCCCUUAAACAAAGAAGUGCCAAUUAAUCACACGAAAAAAGGAAGGCGAAAAAAAAAAGAUCAACCUUUUCUCCAAAAUUUCCUUCCUCUUCUUUUGCUCGAAUUCUCAUAGCAACCAAACAAACGACUUCAAAUCGAUCAAAUAACAAAAAGAAAAGCAACUACUUAACGAAAAUAUGGACAUAUUUAUAUUUUUUCUACUGAAAAAUGCUGACCUUUAAUUGAUAAUCAAGAUAGUUGCAAUGUGAUUUCAGGGAAAAUGGAGAAUUAAUCAAUUCAGAAGCUCAGAUUUCUUCUCUCUUAAGGCUAAGGUAUCUUCUCUUUAUCGAAUCUUUUUCUUCUUUCUUUCUUCUUCUUAUUGACAAUCUACUUCUUUCUCGUUGACGUAUCUCGUUGAAAACGUACACUGCCCAAAAUGACCUGUUUUUCUUUUUAUUUCUACUGUCUCCGCCCCACAAGCUUUCGAUAUUCGUGAAACAGCCCCUAAUCUAUUUAUCACCGUUCAUUUAUCAUAGUACUAGAUAGGCGUGCAACCAAUUGAACUCGGAUACGUACCUUUAAUGUUUCUUUGAAAAUAUUUAUUACAAUUAAGUUUGAGUAAAUUAACAAUUUAGUAUAUUUAUCUUUGUAUAUAAUUACUUAGUCAAUAUAAAAUUAAACUUUAUUAAAAUAAGGUGAUUACAAGCCCCGAUUCUCGAGGGGGCACAAUAUUGAUGGUAAUUACGUGAUGACAUUUUGAAUUCAUAUUUUUUCUUUUUAAAAUAUAUUAAUAAAUAAAAUAAAAAACUCUUUUCCUUUUCGCAUUUGACUUUAAAAAUGUUCUUUCUUGCUCUUGAAUUUUCAAUUUUAUUCCAAGUAUGCAU
RNAcentral lists this long non-coding RNA (1458 nucleotides) under Nicotiana tabacum (common tobacco). RNAcentral's name for it is "long non-coding RNA (NTAB_LNC012139)". The record is from RNAcentral. Lineage: Eukaryota; Viridiplantae; Streptophyta; Magnoliopsida; Solanales; Solanaceae.